CUUUUCAUUUUUUUAAUGUGUCACGCGACGACGUACUGUUACGCUGAUGCCAAUGUUCAGAACCUCGAAACGUUGCAUGUCACAUGUCGACUCUCACCUUCUGUUCCUCUACAAUCCAAGGGACACCAAACAUAUCCAAAAUUAAUGACGUCACUACAGCAACCAAGCAGGAGUCAAGACCAACAUGAAUGGAGCAAAUAGAAGGCAGGCAACGGAAGAGGUUAUAGUAAGAGUACAGUAUUUAUUUAUAAUGUAUAAAUUAUUCCUUAUUAACUAAAAGCAAAUGAGGGUAGCGCCAAUAUUUGUACAACAUUAAUACUGUAAAAAGAUUGAUGUCUUUAAUCCAAAUUUUGAGCUAAAGCAGAACUAGGGAUGAAAAAAAAAACAAUACACAAGUAAUGGCACCCUCUUGUGUCAGAAAAGUAAACGGCACGAUUUCCUUGAUUGCACAUUCUGUCCCUUCAAACACACUGUCGUCACAACACGCUCUUGGUAUACUGAAAUUAUUUGACUCCGUGGAGCGUUUACAUAGUGACGUAAACCUUUACAAAAAACCUUUAGGUACAGGGGUACAUGGCAGACACACAAACACCCUCCUUUUCACCUGAACGAUUUGUCUCAUAUUGGUGAUAAUUGAAGGCUAAGUCUAAUGGCCUUGCGUCCCGCUAACAUGAGGCAGUAGACAGACAGACACACAGACAUACACACACACACACACACACACACACACACACACACACACACACACACACA
This is a long non-coding RNA of Hippocampus comes (tiger tail seahorse), 753 nucleotides long. RefSeq lists it as uncharacterized. Lineage: Eukaryota; Metazoa; Chordata; Actinopteri; Syngnathiformes; Syngnathidae. The transcript is spliced from 3 exons. The record is from RefSeq and is a predicted model, not a curated record.